Non-coding RNA from Paramuricea clavata, 638 nucleotides. The record is from the annotation of a GenBank genome assembly. NCBI's taxonomy places the organism in Eukaryota, Metazoa, Cnidaria, Anthozoa, Malacalcyonacea, Plexauridae.
GGAAAAGUCCCUUUUUCCUAAAAUUAUACAAACAAUCCAGCGAAGAUUAACAAAUAGAUAAACGGAAAGUAAGUUUUAGGCUUUAUCCUUUGUUCUUGUUUAACAAAAUCGAUUUAAAUUGUUACUUUUUUUACCACUAAGCCAUGAUAAAUUAUUGUUAAUAUUUUUUUUUAUUUAUUGGAUGCUCAGAAUGCAGAAAAUAGCAUUUCACGGUUUCAAAUUUCAAAAAUUUUCUUGGGAUUAUCCCUCUAAUAAGUAAUAAUAAAUUACAGUUAAUAUUCUCUUUUACUUUUUGUGCAUUUUUCCAUCUUUUAUUUCAAAUACAACUAUAGUUAGCAUAAAUUUUAGAGCAAAUUUGGAUGCUCAGAAUGCAGGAAAUGGCAUUUCUGUAGUUCAUAUUUCAAAAAUUUUCUGGGGGAGUACACCCCCACACACCUGACCAUUGCUAUCCUCCUCUAAUAAGUAAUGAUAAAUGAUGGUUAAUUUUUUUUUUACUUUUUGUGUGUUUCUUCCUUUAUUUAUUUCAAAUACAAGUAUAGUUAGGAUAAAUUUUGGAGCAAAUUUGGAUGCUCAGAAUGCAGGAAAUGACAUUUCCGGGAGUCAAAUUUCAAAAAUUUUCUGGGGGAGUACACCCCCAG